Molecule: long non-coding RNA, 1872 nt
Organism: Sinocyclocheilus grahami
Lineage: Eukaryota; Metazoa; Chordata; Actinopteri; Cypriniformes; Cyprinidae
Source: Ensembl
ACCAGCUUUACCAUGCAAAAAUCACAAGCACAGUCUCUUUCUCCCUCUGUCAUGCAUCUCUGUUCGGAGUAACAGUGAAGCUCCUCCCCCCCUGCUCUUCUCUCUCUCUGUCUGGAUCUGUCAGUUUCUGUGCUGUUGUUCGGUGGCAGCGUUUCUCUUCACUGCAGAGGCAGCUUCAUUCUCUCCUCCAGGAUGUCGGGCCUUCUGACCAGCUCUCUUCUGCUCUUCCUCUCCCUGACGCUGUUCCAGAUCCCCACACCAGAGGCAAAGCCUCUCUCUACCAUGCGUGGAGGAGGUCGCAGCUUUGACAGCCAGGCAGGUGGAGUCCGUCUGCGAAGAGACCUGCGUGAUUCGGUGCCCUACGAGGCCCAGAUGAUGUCUUACCCCGCUGCUGACUUCAGGAGUCGGAGCAAUGAUCUGUACUACCAACCAGAGGUCUUGAGAGCUCAAGGUCUUGGACAAGCCCUCCAGCGGCUGGUGGAGAACGAUCAGAGGCGGGAACAGGAAGCAGCUUAUCUGGCAUCAAUGCUGCGUCUCCUGAACGAGGCACAGAAUAACGGACAGGGCAAACCUGAGGAAGAGGAGGGUGAUUUCCAGGGCCCAUACCCUCCGGACUACGAUGAGACCGAGCAGGCUGUGAGCAUGGCGAAGCCCCGGGCCUCAUGGCAGGGCCUUCUGGAUCCUCAGCUUACUCAGGCUCUACUCAACCGCUACAAGCAGGAGAGACUGAUGCAGGCUGGACUCGCUCCGAACACCAACAGGAUACCAGAGAGAGAGCAGGACAAAGACCAAGAGAUGCUCAGGUACCUUGUUGAGAAGAUCCUCUCCAGCUUGGCAUCGGGUGGCAAUCAGGGAGGCCCUUCAAACCAGCGUGCUAAACGGGACCUGAGCAUUGUGGCCAAUAUGGAGCAAUCUGGAGGAUCCGCCCUAAAACGCUCCCGCCGGUCCCUGGACUCCGCCUCUGGCCCCUCCCCCCACGUCGAGGCAUCACUGCUGAGGGUGAAACGGCUCGAUGACGACGUGGACGACGACGGGGUCACAGGGCAGAGCAACAGAACGCCACACGUCGGCCUACAGAGAAUGAAGCGCAUAGAUACUGACCUGCCGCCCCCAAAAAAACACAGCCGCAAACGCACAAACGCAGACUACGACCCCACUCUGAUCGCACAGCACAUCCUGCAGUACCUGCCAGCCUAAAGAGUAUGUGAAAGUGAGAAAGUGAGAAGGGAAAUGUUUGGGGGAAAUAGAGAGAAAUCUAGACAGACAGAGCAAGCAAGAGUUUCACUUGCUUACAGAUACGCCAGCGUUCAUUGUCAUCUGCCUAAAUCUAAUCAAGGCCUGCUUGCCAAGGUACUCUGAUAUGAUGUUACUUUCAAUGUUAUACUAUAAUAAAUCCCACACACAUAACAGCUUAUGGAAUAUGCUUUUUGUUUUUUCUUCUUUCUGGCUACAUUCUACAGAAUGUAAGCCCUUUUCCACCAUGGAACAAAAAAAAUAAAAAGGUAACUGUGACUUUUUUUCUUGCAAUUCCGGGUUUAUAUCUCACAAUUCUGAGGGGUUUUUUUCUCAGAAGUUCGAAUUCUGGAAAAAAUGGUCAGAAUUGCAAGAUAUAAACUCUCAAUUCUGAGUUUAUAUCUCACAAUUCUGACUUUUUUCUCAGAUUUCUGAGUUUACAUCUUGCAAUUCCGACUUCAUAUUUCACAAUUCUGACUCUUUUCUUCAGAAUUGCAAAACUCCUCCUCCUCUUCCUCAGGUUUGUCCGUUAUUCUGUGCCUCGUUCAGGAGACGCAGUAUUGAUGCCAGAUAAAGUUUAUUCCUCACAGUGAGUUCAUAUUUUGCAAUUCUGAGAAAAAAGAUAAAAAAUCGGAAAUU